This 776-nucleotide ribosomal RNA is filed under the name uncultured Neocallimastigales. RNAcentral's name for it is "partial large subunit ribosomal RNA". It matches the Rfam family "Eukaryotic large subunit ribosomal RNA", at positions 24 to 649 of the family's 3401-position model. Lineage: Eukaryota; Fungi; Neocallimastigomycota; Neocallimastigomycetes; Neocallimastigales. The record is from RNAcentral.
ACGACUACAUAUCAGGCAUAUCAAUAAGCGGAGGAAAAGAAACUAACAAGGAUUCCCCUAGUAACGGCGAGUGAAGCGGGAAGAGCUCAAAUUUGAAAUCUUCAAGGUUCUACCUUGACGAAUUGUAGUUUUAAAGAAGUGUUUUCUGUUAGAUGAGUAGCAAAAGUUCCUUGGAAUGGGACAUCAUAGAGGGUGAGAAUCCCGUAUUUGGUUAUUCAUUCUAGCUUUGUGAUACACUUUCCAAAGAGUCGGAUUGUUUGGGAAUGCAGUCCAAAAUGGGUGGUAAAUUUCAUCUAAAGCUAAAUAUUGGCGAGAGACCGAUAGCGAACAAGUACCGUGAGGGAAAGAUGAAAAGAACUUUGAAAAGAGAGUUAAACAGUACGUGAAAUUGUCAAAAGGGAAGCGUUUGACACCAGUGUUGUUUUUCCGAAAAUCAAUUACGAAUGGCUUGAUUUUGUGUUGUAUUGACCUUAUCAGCUUUCUUCACUUUCUUCAAGUCUUUCUUAAUGCACUUUUUCGGUUAACAAGUCAACAUCAAUUUCUUUUGUUGUAAAAGAGUAUUCGGAAGGUGGCUUUCUUUUCGGAGAAAGUGUUUAUAGCCCUAUACUUCUACAAUCGGAGAGAUUGAGGUCUGCAGCGUAGAUCCUUCGGGGUUAGAUACACUUGUGCUAAGUUGUAGCUUUUCAUAGACAACUUGUUGACUAUGUUUAGUCAUGCGGCUUACUCGCUUGUGCUAUUUUACCUACGCUUAGGAUGUUGAGUAGCGACAUACGCAC